RNAcentral lists this ribosomal RNA (243 nucleotides) under uncultured bacterium. RNAcentral describes it as "partial 16S ribosomal RNA". It matches the Rfam family "Bacterial small subunit ribosomal RNA", at positions 90 to 334 of the family's 1533-position model. The record is from RNAcentral.
GGCGACCGGCGCACGGGUGAGUAACGCGUAUGCAACCUGCCCGAUACCGGGGUAUAGCCCAUGGAAACGUGGAUUAACACCCCAUAGUACUUUUAUCCUGCAUGGGAUGUGAGUUAAAUGUUCAAGGUAUCGGAUGGGCAUGCGUCCUAUUAGUUAGUUGGCGGGGUAACAGCCCACCAAGACGAUGAUAGGUAGGGGUUCUGAGAGGAAGGUCCCCCACAUUGGAACUGAGACACGGUCCAA